Molecule: ribosomal RNA, 433 nt
Filed under: uncultured bacterium
Lineage: Bacteria
Description: partial 16S ribosomal RNA
Rfam family: Bacterial small subunit ribosomal RNA
Source: RNAcentral
AACGAACGCUGGCGGCAGGCCUAACACAUGCAAGUCGAGCGCGCCCUUCGGGGUGAGCGGCGGACGGGUGAGUAACGCGUGGGAACGUGCCCUUCUCUGCGGAAUAGCCUCGGGAAACUGAGAGUAAUACCGCAUACGCCCUUUGGGGGAAAGAUUUAUCGGAGAAGGAUCGGCCCGCGUUGGAUUAGGUAGUUGGUGGGGUAAUGGCCCACCAAGCCAACGAUCCAUAGCUGGUUUGAGAGGAUGAUCAGCCACACUGGGACUGAGACACGGCCCAGCCUCCUACGGGAGGCAGCAGUGGGGAAUCUUAGACAAUGGGGGCAACCCUGAUCUAGCCAUGCCGCGUGAGUGAUGAAGGCCUUAGGGUUGUAAAGCUCUUUCAGCUGGGAAGAUAAUGACGGUACCAGCAGAAGAAGCCCCGGCUAACUCCGUG